GCUAAGAUCAAGUGUAGUAUCUGUUCUUAUCAGUUUAAUAUCUGAUAUGUGGACCAUCGGUUCACACGAUAUUAAAUUUAUUUUUUAAGGGGAAAGGUUCUUCAAAGUAGCUUGCUAUUUGGGCCUUUGCGCGUCGCUCAUGCGUUGCACUACUGCUUGGGCCUGGCGCACCCCACCAAUCCAGUUUAAGUUUUAAUUCUUGUUAGUGCUAUCAUUACUACCUCGUUCAGUAAAUAUUAGUAUCGUGUUAAUUGCUUAUGAUUUUCUCUAAUAUAUGAGUACAACAAAUUCCAAUUUUCAUUUCGGAAGGUAGAGUCGAAACCAGUAUAUUGAGCUAAAAAUUGGGUCUUUUUAGCAUCACUAAUCAUGAAAUAUAGUUCUACUGAUUACAGAUUUUACUGUAACCGCGUAAAUCUUCAUCAAAACCUCAUCCAUUAAAAUGAUUUCUUCUCCAAACGUCAGUGAAUAAAAUAUUCAACCAAGAUUAGCUCACAAUCUACAUUGUCAUGUCCAAUUGAAGAAAUCGAGAUGCUUGGUGGUUUGUCCGUGUUGGAAUCCGCCGCCGAAGUUUUUCUAUUGGGCCGGAAUUCGUCUUUUUCCCUUGUGGAUUUCCGACAUUUCCGAGGCCUGUUUCUGUUAGGAGGGGAGAAGCAGAGGAUAGUUGCGGCGAGAAGCGGUUUGAAGGACUUAGAUCAGUGUGUGAUUCACAUGCUUUGCUGAUUUUGUUCCUCUGAGAUGUAAGACAUGGAUAUUCAGUUAAGUGGUGGGCAUUCUCUCGCGUGUGCCAAAUUGUGUGCAGUGUUUUGAACCGGCUACUGUUGUUCCGCUCAUAAUAAAGUAGUUUACUUUUACAGUCUGAAUGGUGCAGACAUUGACAUCCCCGAGUGGAAGUUCUCUGAAAUCAUGCAGAUCAUUCUAUUUUGAGGAUAGUUCAGAUAUUAGGUAAGUUGGGAAAUUGGAAGCGGGUGCUCCAACUUAUUGAAUGGCUCCAGUCUCGCUACCGCUUCAAAUGUCACAGACCAAGAUAUAUUUGUACUGCUGCACUGUAUGCUCAUGGAAAAGCGAGGAGGCCAGUAGAGGCUCUCAGCUUAUCAUUGCAUAGCUGUCACUCUUGGACAAGCAGGGUAUAUAAAGGAACUAUUUGACGUGAUCGGUCCCCUCCCAAAAACAAGUUCAAAACUGAAUUGCUUGCAAAGUGGGAUCCAAGACUCGAACUGGAUGUAUAACGCUGUACUUAAUGCUUGUGUUCGGCGCCAGAAAUGGGAAGGGCCUUUUUGGGUUCUGCAGCAACUAAGCCAACAGAACCAACAACCUAUGGACUAGUUAUGGAGGUAAGCCGGACAUAGUCAUUUCUGGCUUGGCUCUGCAGAGACGUUGCCUAAAAAUGCCUACUUUUUUUCUCUUUCAUGUAAAAUGAAAAUUCAAGGAAAAUACAAACAUUCUAUUCUGAGCUACUAAAAUGCCUCUGUUGGAGCAGGUCAUGUUGGCCUGCGGCAAGUAUAACUUAGUUUAUGAUUUCUUCAAGAAGGUGCAGAAAUCAUUACCCUUACCACUGCUGCAUCAUAAGUAUUACCUUGUAAACCUUUUCCCUGUUGUGUAUAGUUCUCGUAAAUGCUCUAUGGAAGGAAGGAAAAGUCGAUGAGGCCAUACACGUUUUUAACUUUGUAGUUGGUACCGCUGGUCUCUAUUAUGACCUUGCUCGCUGCCUUUGUAGUGCAGGAAGGUGCCGUGAAGCACUAUAACAAGUGCGUAGUAUAUAUUUCAUACACGUUUUUAACUUUGAUUUGCAACUUGGUGAGUUUAGCCCGAGCAACAUUUUACGCUAUUACUGUGUCGGACUUGACAACUUUGGUUUUGUUUCCUCAUUUUCGUUUUGGUUCGUUUCUGCAUAUUGACAAGAUCUGCAGAGUUGCAAAUAAACCACUUGUGGUAACUUACACUGGUUUGAUGCAAGCAUGUGCGGAGUCUGGCAACAAACUCUUGAUCGAGAACGCCCACCGGUUCCCGGACCAAGCCCUCCACCAGCUCGUCCGCGAUGGAAGCAUUCUUCUUCACCGGUCCGAAAACCCUGCUCUUGAACAUCUAUUAGAUUCUUGCAAAGAUUUUUUAAGGAAACAAACAUUAAUAGAUGUGAAGCAAGUAGAAGUAGGAACUAGGUUUCAAGAUAAUGCUGCUUUAGUAUGCUAAAUUUUGAAAUACUAUUUAUUUUGUCUAUUCAUCUUAUAAUGUUGAAUUUCGUCAAUUUUUUAGAUCAAGCUAAUAAAGAAGUGGAUGUUACAAGUAA
Salvia splendens (bonfire salvia) is the source of this 2284-nucleotide long non-coding RNA. RefSeq lists it as uncharacterized. The transcript has 4 exons. Lineage: Eukaryota; Viridiplantae; Streptophyta; Magnoliopsida; Lamiales; Lamiaceae. The record is from RefSeq and is a predicted model, not a curated record.